Molecule: ribosomal RNA, 1345 nt
Filed under: uncultured bacterium
Lineage: Bacteria
Description: bacterial SSU rRNA
Rfam family: Bacterial small subunit ribosomal RNA
Source: RNAcentral
GACGAACGCUGGCGGCGUGCUUAACACAUGCAAGUCGAACGAUGAAGCGGUGCUUGCACCGUGGAUUAGUGGCGAACGGGUGAGUAAUACGUGAGUGACCUACCUUUGACUCUGGGAUAAGCCUGGGAAACUGGGUCUAAUACCGGAUACGACCAAUCUCAGCAUGGGGUGUUGGUGGAAAGCGUUAUGGAGUGGUCUUAGAUGGGCUCACGGCCUAUCAGCUUGUUGGUGAGGUAAUGGCUUACCAAGGCGACGACGGGUAGCCGGCCUGAGAGGGUGACCGGCCACACUGGGACUGAGACACGGCCCAGACUCCUACGGGAGGCAGCAGUGGGGAAUAUUGCACAAUGGGCGCAAGCCUGAUGCAGCGACGCCGCGUGAGGGAUGACGGCCUUCGGGUUGUAAACCUCUGUUAGCAUCGAAGAAGCGAAAGUGACGGUAGGUGCAGAGAAAGCGCCGGCUAACUACGUGCCAGCAGCCGCGGUAAUACGUAGGGCGCGAGCGUUGUCCGGAAUUAUUGGGCGUAAAGAGCUUGUAGGCGGUUGGUCGCGUCUGCUGUGAAGGCCGGGGCUUAACUCCGGUUUUGCAGUGGGUACGGGCUAACUAGAGUGCAGUAGGGGAGACUGGAAUUCCUGGUGUAGCGGUGGAAUGCACAGAUAUCAGGAGGAACACCGAUGGCGAAGGCAGGUCUCUGGGCUGUAACUGACGCUGAGAAGCGAAAGCAUGGGGAGCGAACAGGAUUAGAUACCCUGGUAGUCCAUGCCGUAAACGUUGGGCACUAGGUGUGGGGGACAUUCCACGUUUUCCGCGCCGUAGCUAACGCAUUAAGUGCCCCGCCUGGGGAGUACGGCCGCAAGGCUAAAACUCAAAGGAAUUGACGGGGGCCCGCACAAGCGGCGGAGCAUGCGGAUUAAUUCGAUGCAACGCGAAGAACCUUACCAAGGCUUGACAUGCAUUAGAUCGCGUCAGAGAUGGCGUUUCCCUUCGGGGCUGGUGUACAGGUGGUGCAUGGUUGUCGUCAGCUCGUGUCGUGAGAUGUUGGGUUAAGUCCCGCAACGAGCGCAACCCUCGUUCUAUGUUGCCAGCGGUUCGGCCGGGGACUCAUAGGAGACUGCCGGGGUCAACUCGGAGGAAGGUGGGGAUGACGUCAAAUCAUCAUGCCCCUUAUGUCUUAGGCUUCACGCAUGCUACAAUGGCCGGUACAGAGGGUUGCGAUACUGUGAGGUGGAGCUAAUCCCUUAAAGCCGGUCUCAGUUCGGAUUGGGGUCUGCAACUCGACCCCAUGAAGUCGGAGUCGCUAGUAAUCGCAGAUCAGCAACGCUGCGGUGAAUACGUUCCCGGGCCU